This 654-nucleotide ribosomal RNA is filed under the name Triticum aestivum (bread wheat). RNAcentral describes it as "partial small subunit ribosomal RNA". The record is from RNAcentral. Lineage: Eukaryota; Viridiplantae; Streptophyta; Magnoliopsida; Poales; Poaceae.
AUGAAGGGGAGUCGUGCUCCGGGACCGGAUGGAUUCACUGGAACAUUCUAUAAGCAAUGUUGGGCAACGAUUAAAGAUGACCUUUUGGCCACCCUACAAGCUGUGCAUACCAACGACACCACUCACCUGCACCGUCUCAACCAAGCCACCAUGGUGCUUCUUCCCAAGAAUCCCGAGGCGCUGCAACCCAAGGACUACAGGCCCAUCAGCUUGAUCUAUAGCUUCGCUAAAUUGGUCACUAAAAUCCUUGCGGCUCGGUUGCAGAGGAGGAUGCUGGAGCUUGUUAGACCCUACCAGAAGGCCUUCAUCAGGGGAAGGACCAUUCACGACAGUUUCAACUAUGUCAGCGGCCUUGCAAGGGCGUUUCGUAGGGCAAAGACGCCUGCCCUCAUGGUUAAGUUGGACAUCCAGCGGGCUUUUGACACGGUGUCCUGGGAAUUUCUUAUGAAGUUGCUCGAGGCUCGAGGUGUGGGCCGGAGGGUGAUAGACAUGUUGGCAGCUUUGCUUCGCUCCUCCACCACCAAUAUCCUUGUCAAUGGGGAGCUAUCGGACAACAUCAGCCAUAGAAGGGGCCUACGACAGGGGGACCCCCUAUCACCCCUCCUGUUUGUCAUCGUCAUGGACUGCUUGGCGGCAAUGAGGCUGUGCAACUAG